AUGGGGGAGGAGGGCUCAGAAACCGCGGGAAGGCAGAGGGAGGGAGUUGAGAAUGAAAUUCCUCUGGUGCAGGGCUGCACCUGGAGCUUCAGCAAACAGGCAAACUAUACAGUCAAAGAAAAAGGAAAAGUCAUAAGAAAGAUGCUGUUCCCACCCAGCAAUUUGUGGAAGUUCAUUUUCAAGACAUUUUUGCAAAAGGUCCAGUUCAACUAGAUCUUUCCGAACAAUACAAAUCUUUGGAGGAAGUCAGGGUGGAUAUAGCUCAAUGACAACAGGCUGUGCGUGUCUGUGUGUGUGAAGGGUCACAGAGACCCCUCUAUGACCAGUCAGCCUGAAGAGCAGGUGGUCCUUAUCAUCAUCUUUCCAGUUUGACUGGGACACUCGCCACAUUGUGCUCCGCCAAGUUUAUAAGCAGCACCUGUGGGAUUGCUGGCCCCUCGGCUCAAACAUGUGGUGGUGGAGUAGACCUUAGGGGAAGUUGCACAGAAAUUUUAUGGAGCAGUUGUGCUUCAGCUGAACUGUAACUGGACAAAAUGAACAAUAACCAAAAAAAAAAAAAAGAAGAAGAAGAAGAAAAAAAAUAUGGUAACACUUUAUAAUAACAUUCACUGAUAAAUCAUUAACAAACAUUAUAUAAUGCUUAACAGAUCAUUAGUUAAUAUAUAUAUUAACAUAGCUAGAAAUAUGAGAUAAUAUUCUUGUUAAUGUUUACUAAUGAACUUACUAAACAUUAUCUAAUGAUUAACAUAUGAUUAUUUAAUGUAAACUGAAAUGCUUACAAAUGUCAGUAAACUUCCAGUUCAUAUGAUCUUCAUUUGUUGGUUUCUGUUUGUUGUGUAGACCUCUAUUUACACAUCUUAACAGAUCAUUUAUUAUUAAUUUGUUCAUGUUUUUGCAGUACCCAAUCUAAAGUGAAAACUAUUCAUCAUUUGCAAAUGUUUUAUUUUAAAUGUUUACUAAUCAUUUAUACCUUUAUGAGCAGUCAUCUGUGUCCCGAAAGACCUGAAUUUACCCUAUUCACACAUCUUUACUAAACAUUUAUUAAUCAUUUGUUAAUGUUUUGGCAGUAGCCAAUCUAAAGUUGAAACUAUUUGUCAUUUGUAAAUAUUUAUAAACAAUUAUUAAUCAUUUAGUAUAUUUAUGGGCAUUGGACUUUAAGCUAAUGUAACAAGGUUUGUGUAAAGGGUGGCUGAUUAAGUUUAGCUAAAUGCUUGCAAGACAUUACAAAAAUUUGCAAAAAAUAAAUAAAUAAAUAAAAAUUAUUGCCUCA
Cyprinus carpio (common carp) is the source of this 1270-nucleotide long non-coding RNA. NCBI's taxonomy places the organism in Eukaryota, Metazoa, Chordata, Actinopteri, Cypriniformes, Cyprinidae. The record is from Ensembl.